GUUAGGAAUAUUGCGCAAUGGGCGAAAGCCAGACGCAGCAACGCCGCGUGGGCGACGAAGGUCUUCGGAUCGUAAAGCCCUUUUACGGGGGACGAGGAAGGACAGUACCCUGUGAAUAAGUCUCGGCUAAUUACGUGCCAGCAGCCGCGGUAACACGUAAGAGGCGAGCGUUAUCCGGAUUCAUUGGGCGUAAAGCGCGUGCAGGCGGUGCUCUAAGUUGGACGUAAAAUCUCCUGGCCCAACUAGGAGGGGUCGUUCAAGACUGGAACACUUGAGGUCAGAAGAGGGAAGCGGAAUUCCCGGUGUAGCGGUGGAAUGCGUAGAUAUCGGGAGGAACACCCGUGGCGAAAGCGGCUUCCUGGUCUGCACCUGACGCUGAGACGCGAAAGCUAGGGGAGCAAACGGGAUUAGAUACCCCUGUAGUCC
This 426-nucleotide ribosomal RNA is filed under the name uncultured bacterium. Its description in RNAcentral is "bacterial SSU rRNA". It matches the Rfam family "Bacterial small subunit ribosomal RNA", at positions 354 to 796 of the family's 1533-position model. The record is from RNAcentral.